RNAcentral lists this ribosomal RNA (497 nucleotides) under uncultured bacterium. RNAcentral describes it as "partial 16S ribosomal RNA". It matches the Rfam family "Bacterial small subunit ribosomal RNA", at positions 28 to 507 of the family's 1533-position model. The record is from RNAcentral.
GAUGAACGCUGGCGGCGUGCCUAAUACAUGCAAGUCGAGCGAACGGACGAGAGGCUUGCUUCUCUGAUGUUAGCGGCGGACGGGUGAGUAACACGUGGAUAACCUACCUAUAAGACUGGGAUAACUUCGGGAAACCGGAGCUAAUACCGGAUAAUAUUUUGAACCGCAUGGUUCAAAAGUGAAAGACGGUCUUUCUGUCACUUAUAGAUGGAUCCGCGCUGCAUUAGCUAGUUGGUAAGGUAACGGCUUACCAAGGCAACGAUGCAUAGCCGACCUGAGAGGGUGAUCGGCCACACUGGAACUGAGACACGGUCCAGACUCCUACGGGAGGCCGCAGUAGGGAAUCUUCCGCAAUGGGCGAAAGCCUGACGGAGCAACGCCGCGUGAGUGAUGAAGGUCUUCGGAUCGUAAAACUCUGUUAUUAGGGAAGAACAUAUGUGUAAGUAACUGUGCACAUCUUGACGGUACCUAAUCAGAAAGCCACGGCUAACUACGUG